Molecule: ribosomal RNA, 464 nt
Filed under: Vreelandella stevensii
Lineage: Bacteria; Pseudomonadati; Pseudomonadota; Gammaproteobacteria; Oceanospirillales; Halomonadaceae
Description: partial 16S ribosomal RNA
Rfam family: Bacterial small subunit ribosomal RNA
Source: RNAcentral
CCUACGGUGGCAGCAGUGGGGAAUAUUGGACAAUGGGCGAAAGCCUGAUCCAGCCAUGCCGCGUGUGUGAAGAAGGCCUUCGGGUUGUAAAGCACUUUCAGUGGGGAAGAAAGCCUUGGGGCUAAUACCCUCGAGGAAGGACAUCACCCACAGAAGAAGCACCGGCGAACUCCGUGCCAGCAGCCGCGGUAAUACGGAGGGUGCGAGCGUUAAUCGGAAUUACUGGGCGUAAAGCGCGCGUAGGCGGUCUGAUAAGCCGGUUGUGAAAGCCCCGGGCUCAACCUGGGAACGGCAUCCGGAACUGUCAGGCUAGAGUGCAGGGGAGGAAGGUAGAAUUCCCGGUGUAGCGGUGAAAUGCGUAGAGAUCGGGAGGAAUACCAGUGGCGAAGGCGGCCUUCUGGACUGACACUGACGCUGAGGUGCGAAAGCGUGGGUAGCAAACAGGAUUAGAUACCCUGGUAGUC